RNAcentral lists this transfer RNA (74 nucleotides) under bacterium. RNAcentral's name for it is "tRNA-Arg". It matches the Rfam family "tRNA". Rfam says of the family: Transfer RNA (tRNA) molecules are approximately 80 nucleotides in length. Their secondary structure includes four short double-helical elements and three loops (D, anti-codon, and T loops). The record is from RNAcentral. RNAcentral also lists the same sequence under 1 other name.
GUGCCCGUAGCUCAGUUGGAUAGAGCAACGGAUUUCUAAUCCGUAGGUCGCAGGUUCGAGUCCUGCCGGGCACA